Molecule: transfer RNA, 76 nt
Filed under: Salmo salar (Atlantic salmon)
Lineage: Eukaryota; Metazoa; Chordata; Actinopteri; Salmoniformes; Salmonidae
Rfam family: tRNA
About the family: Transfer RNA (tRNA) molecules are approximately 80 nucleotides in length. Their secondary structure includes four short double-helical elements and three loops (D, anti-codon, and T loops).
Source: Rfam by way of RNAcentral
UCCCGUGUGGCUCAGUUGGUAGGUAGAGCAUGGUGUUUGCAACGCCAGGGUUAUGGGUUCAAUUCCCACGGAGGAC